GCUUCUGGAUAGCUCAGCUGGUGAGAGCACGGUGCUGAUAACACCAAGGUGGCAGGUUCAAUCCCCUUAUGGGGCG
This is a non-coding RNA of Podarcis lilfordi (Lilford's wall lizard), 76 nucleotides long. NCBI's taxonomy places the organism in Eukaryota, Metazoa, Chordata, Lepidosauria, Squamata, Lacertidae. The record is from the annotation of a GenBank genome assembly.